AACCUGACUCAGGCUGCAGAAAAUGAAGUUCCUUUGCAGGAACGAAAAAAUUACAAAUCAAGUCCUGAAAUUCAGUGUAUUGUUUUCUUUUUUUCCAGGAGCCAAUCAGACCUCUUGAGAAAAGAGCUCUAAACUUCCUAGUUAAUGAAUUUUUAUUGAAGAAU
Molecule: long non-coding RNA, 164 nt
Organism: Egretta garzetta (little egret)
Lineage: Eukaryota; Metazoa; Chordata; Aves; Pelecaniformes; Ardeidae
Exons: 3
Source: RefSeq, a predicted model, not a curated record